AGUGAACGCUGGCGGUAGGCCUAACACAUGCAAGUCGAACGGCAGCACAGUAAGAGCUUGCUCUUACGGGUGGCGAGUGGCGGACGGGUGAGGAAUACAUCGGAAUCUACUUUUUCGUGGGGGAUAACGUAGGGAAACUUACUCUAAUACCGCAUACGACCUACGGGUGAAAGCAGGGGAUCUUCGUACCUUGCGCGAUUGAAUGAGCCGAUGUCGGAUUAGCUAGUUGGCGGGGUAAAGGCCCACCAAGGCGACGAUCCGUAGCUGGUCUGAGAGGAUGAUCAGCCACACUGGAAAUGAGACACGGUCCAGACUCCUACGGGAGGGAGCAGUGGGGAAUAUUGGAAAAUGGGGGCAAGACUGAUCCAGCAAUACCGCGUGGGUGAAGAAGGCAUUCGGGUUGUAAAGCCCUUUUGUUGGGAAAGAAAAGCAGCAGGUUAAUACCCCGCUGUUCUGACGGUACCCAAAGAAUAAGCACCGGCUAACUUCGUG
RNAcentral lists this ribosomal RNA (492 nucleotides) under uncultured bacterium. RNAcentral describes it as "partial 16S ribosomal RNA". It matches the Rfam family "Bacterial small subunit ribosomal RNA", at positions 29 to 507 of the family's 1533-position model. The record is from RNAcentral.